GGAUUCGUGGCAGAGUGGUUGAAUGCACUCGUCUUGAAAACGAUAAUCUAUGUAUAAUAGGUCGUGAGUUCAAAUCUCACCGGGUCCG
This 88-nucleotide transfer RNA is filed under the name Mutinus fleischeri. RNAcentral describes it as "tRNA-Ser". It matches the Rfam family "tRNA". Rfam says of the family: Transfer RNA (tRNA) molecules are approximately 80 nucleotides in length. Their secondary structure includes four short double-helical elements and three loops (D, anti-codon, and T loops). Lineage: Eukaryota; Fungi; Basidiomycota; Agaricomycetes; Phallales; Phallaceae. The record is from RNAcentral.